Molecule: unclassified non-coding RNA, 90 nt
Filed under: Pseudomonas thivervalensis
Lineage: Bacteria; Pseudomonadati; Pseudomonadota; Gammaproteobacteria; Pseudomonadales; Pseudomonadaceae
Source: RNAcentral
UGUGGGAGCGAACUUGCUCGCGAUGGCGCCGGGUCAGUCAGCAGUGAAGUUGGCUGACCCACUGCUAUCGCGAGCAAGCUCGCUCCCACA